CGGCGGGCGCUGGCUGUCCCCCAGCCUGGCCCUGCCUGGUGGCUUUUGCUCCUCGGAUUCCUUGACGUUGCCAAGGAAACGCUGGGAUUCAGCUCGGAUCUGAUUGAACCGGGCGCAGACGUCACGCAGGGACACGGGGGACAGGGACAGCGUGCUCGGGGCGGGGACUCUGCUGUCCUGCAGCCCCUUCCCCACCGGACAGGGAUGUGCUGGAAUUCCGCACCUGUCCCACCUUCCCAGUGGGAGAUGGGCACGAAGCGGCUGCAGGAGGAGGCGCUGCAGGAGCAGAUGGAAGCGUGGAGAGCUCCUGGAGCAGCCCCAGCUGCAGGAAUGCCAUCCCACAGGAGCCACUGCCAGGUCUCUGGAAGAGCUGAGCCCUUGGGGACAUCCCUGGUCACUGUCACCACCUCCCAUCAGACCCUGAGCUCUCCACCCACAGCACGGCCGCCAGCACUUCCCAUCCUGAUGGAAACCCAGUCCAGGCUCCCAUCCCAGCACUGCCCUUUGGAAAACCAUCCUGACCAGAGCCAUCCUGUGGGAUUUGCUCCAGCCCCUUCCUCCUCUUCUUCCUCCCAGGCUCAGCCUUGCUAAUAAACCUCACUCAUCCACCAGCCAAUCUUUUUUCCAGCUGCUCCUGUGGGAUCCCUCAGCACAGCCCCAUCCAAACUUUUCCAAGAAAUGGAACACAUUUGGACUCAUUCUUUAAUUUCGAGCUGGUGCAGCAGCAAUAAUGCUGCACCUGCAGCAAAUUCCAGCCAGGACAGAACUUUGCUAACCUGCCUGAGCCAGGAGAAGCUGAAUUCCAGGACCUGGAGUUCCUCCCAAAUUCCCAGCUCACGUGCACCCAAUUAUACCCCUUGUAGGGCAAUUAAAAUUAUACAAGCAGCUGCCUAUCAAAGCUGAAGCAGUUAAUUAGAAUGAAACACUUUUAGGGGAAAUAAGCCUUGCCUUAUUCCCAAAUUCUUGGAGGAGCAUGUGUGUGGGAGCUGGGAUGCUGCAGGUUGCCCAGGACUGGCAGGGCCUAGGGGUGGCAGCUUUGGCAACCUUAUUUCCAAAAAACAAAAGCUGAUUUUAGGACCUACCUGCUCCAGACAUCCAGAGUUUUCAGUGUUUCCCCUCCAGGCUCAAGCACAGGGGACAAGAAGAUCCUCUUGUCCCACUGCUGGGGGUUUGCAGCCCUGUUUUUGCCUGGGAACAUUCCCAUCCCACCUCGAUGGUUUUGAGGGAGCAAACAGCUCCCAAAAUCCCUCUGCUUCUUUCCCUGGCAAGGCAACAUUCCCAGCCACCCCCACUGUGCUCAUUUAGCACCUUCCUCCUCCUCCUCCUCCUCCUCCUCCUCCUGCUUUCCCACCUGUGUGGGGGCACCUGCAGGGCUGCUCCCUCCUUCUCCAGAGCUUUUCCCAAAGCAUCCAUUUUCCCCAUCAAUGUUUUGCCCCUCAUUCCUGUUUCUGUGCCAUAUUUGGGGCCAGCACUGCCUCCCAGCCCUGGGGUUUUCCUUCCCACUCCUGUCACUGUCCUGUCACCGGGAUCCAUCCCCACUUCGGGGUCACCUGUGACCCUUAGAGCCCCACUUUUCAAACCCCCAUAGCACCUGGAUCUGUCUGCAGGGAUCCAAGGGGGGGGUCACCACCUCCCUGAAUCCCAUCCCAGAGGUGCUCCCAGCACAUCCCACCCCGCUGGACCACUCUGCCCCUGCUCGGGGCUGGGAGAACUGGGUCAGCCUGUAACCAUGGAGAUGCUGAGGGAGAUGCUGAAGCAGCGCCAGCACAGCCCCGGCUCUCCAGAACCCUGGAAAGAUUCCCCCGCCCUGGCACCUCCGGAUCCGGCCGGGAUGGGGCUGGGGAGCUGAGCUCAGCCUCCUCCUCCUCCUCCUCCCCGGUGCAGCGCUGGUAAGACGCCUCCAUCUCCUUUUUUAUUUUAAUUUAUUUUUUUGGGGGGUGCCACCAGCGGGGAGGGGCCGAGCUCGGCAUCCAAACGCAACAGGGAUCUCGGGAUUUUUUUUUUUGUGCUCAUCCAUGGAGGAUGCUCCGGCCAUGACACGGCUGGAGCUCCGUGCAUCGCUGGGGAUGCGGGUUUGGCUCGCCGGGGAAGUUCCCGGGGCUCGUUGUUUCCCGCAGGGACGGGCGGUGAGCGCUGCGGGGCUCCCCCCCCCCCCCCCCCCCCCCCCCCCCCCCCCCCCCCCCCCCCCCCCCC
Molecule: long non-coding RNA, 2193 nt
Organism: Ficedula albicollis (Collared flycatcher)
Lineage: Eukaryota; Metazoa; Chordata; Aves; Passeriformes; Muscicapidae
Source: Ensembl